GAUGAACGCUGGCGGCGUGCCUAAUACAUGCAAGUCGAGCGAACAGACGAGGAGCUUGCUCCUCUGACGUUAGCGGCGGACGGGUGAGUAACACGUGGAUAACCUACCUCUUAGACUGGGAUAACUUCGGGACACCGGAGCUAAUACCGGAUAAUAUAUUCAACCGCAUGGUUCAAUAGUUAAAUACGGUUUUGCUGUCACUUAUAGAUGGAUCCGCGCCGCCUUAGCUAGUUGGUAAGGUAAAGGCUUACCACGGCAACGAUGCGUAGCCGACCUGAGAGGGUGAUCGGCCACACUGGAACUGAGACACGGUCCAGACUCCUACGGGAGGCAGCAGUAGGGAAUCUUGCGCAAUGGGCGAAAGCCUGACGGAGCAACGCCGCGUGAGUGAUGAAGGUCUUCGGAUCGUAAAACUCUGUUAUUAGGGAAGAACAAAUGUGUAAGUAACUAUGCACGUCUUGACGGUACCUAAUCAGAAAGCCACGGCUAACUACGUG
RNAcentral lists this ribosomal RNA (497 nucleotides) under uncultured bacterium. Its description in RNAcentral is "partial 16S ribosomal RNA". It matches the Rfam family "Bacterial small subunit ribosomal RNA", at positions 28 to 507 of the family's 1533-position model. The record is from RNAcentral.